AACAAACGCUGGCGGCGUGCCUAACACAUGCAAGUCGUACGAGAAAGUCGGCUUCGGCCGAUGAGUACAGUGGCGCACGGGUGAGUAGCGCGUGGGUAAUCUGCCCCCCGGUCAGGAAUAACCCGCCGAAAGGCGGGCUAAUACCCGAUAACACUGACGCUCCGCGGAGCGUCUUUCAAAGAAGGCCUCUGUUUACAAGCUUUCGCCGGAGGAUGAGCCCGCGUACCAUUAGCUAGUUGGCAGGGUAAUGGCCUACCAAGGCUACGAUGGUUAGCUGGUCUGAGAGGAUGGCCAGCCACACUGGAACUGAGACACGGUCCAGACUCCUACGGGAGGCAGCAGUGAGGAAUCUUGCGCAAUGGGGGAAACCCUGACGCAGCGACGCCGCGUGAGGGAAGAAGGUUCUCGGAUUGUAAACCUCUGUUCUUGGUGAAGAGAAGAAGACGGUAGCCAAGGAGGAAGCCCCGGGCUAACUACGUG
Molecule: ribosomal RNA, 480 nt
Filed under: uncultured bacterium
Lineage: Bacteria
Description: bacterial SSU rRNA
Rfam family: Bacterial small subunit ribosomal RNA
Source: RNAcentral